AGAGACCAGAGAGCCAGUCCAACCCAGUCCAUCACCUGGAGGCUGGAGAACCACGAGGCUGUUGCCUGUUCGUCCCCCUCUUCUGAGAGGUCCAGGUCACCUGCUCUGGGAGAAGCCAGUUGCCAUGUUGUAAGGACACUCAAGCAGCCCAUGGAAUGACUCACAUGCUGAAGAACUGAGCCCUCCCUCCUUCCAACAGCCAGGGAGGAACUAGGGCUUCUUGCCAAUAACCAUGUGAAGAAGCUUGGAAAUGGAUUCUCCCCCAAAUGAGUCUUCAGAUUACUGUAGACUAACAUCUUGACUGCAACCUCUAGAAAGACCCUGAGCCAGGAUCACCAAGCUCACAGAAGCU
This 352-nucleotide long non-coding RNA is filed under the name Pan troglodytes (chimpanzee). RNAcentral's name for it is "long non-coding RNA NONPTRT010492". Lineage: Eukaryota; Metazoa; Chordata; Mammalia; Primates; Hominidae. The record is from RNAcentral.